AACCAGAAGAAAAUAAGAAAAUCUUGAUUCAUUCAACCAUCUAUUUAUAAAAUACCCAACAAAUUAGACUCAAAUCUAUGAAGUCCAACUCCAUGAACUUCCAUUUGCUUCCAAAUCUUUCCAUCAAAAUCAAUUUAAUUUAAGAAAUAAUCAAUAAAUAAAUAAAUAAAAACUCAUUACAUGUUGCACAACUCCACCGGCGAUAUAGCAUCGUUAGGCUACCGACAACAGAAGCGUGACAAACAGAAGGCAAGGCUAAUAUGAGGGCGACGGGACGAACUGCGACGGGCUAGCUACGGCGACGACGACAAGUUGACACAACCACAAUGGCGACGAAGACAAGCUGACUAAUAAGUGAUGGUGAGUGAGAGAGAUGGUGACGGGUGUGUGUGUGUGUGUGUGUGUGUGUGUGUGUGUGUGUGUGUGUGUGUGUGUGUGUGUGUGUGUGUGUGUGUGUGUGUGUGUGUGUGUGUGUGUGUGUGUGUGUGUGUGUGUGUGUGUGUGUGUGUGUGUGUGUGUGUGUGUGUGUGUGUGUGUGUGUGUGUGUGUGUGUGUGUGUGUGUGUGUGUGUGUGUGUGUGUGUGUGUGUGUGUGUGUGUGUGUGUGUGUGUGUGUGUGUGUGUGUGUGUGUGUGUGUGUGUGUGUGUGUGUGUGUGUGUGUGUGUGUGUGUGUGUGUGUGUGUGUGUGUGUGUGUGUGUGUGUGUGUGUGUGUGUGUGUGUGUGUGUGUGUGUGUGUGUGUGUGUGUGUGUGUGUGUGUGUGUGUGUGUGUGUGUGUGUGUGUGUGUGUGUGUGUGUGAAAGAUGAAGUGAAAGUGCAGAGGUGUGUGUGUGUCGGCUGGUGUGAGAAAGAUGGUGUGUUGUGUUGGAGUGUGUGAGAGAUUUUAGGCUUUAGAUUUAUAUUUUACUUAUUUAUGUUUUUUAUUUUAAAAUUUAUUUAGUAUUAAGUGAAAGAACCUAUCGGUUUGUCGGUUUGGUUCGGUUUUGAGCCGAGCCGAAUACAAAUCAACCGGUUCAUAAAUUUUUAAAUCAUUUGAUUUUUAUGCUUAAAACCGAACUGAAAUUUUUCGGUUUGAUUCAGUUCGAGAAAAACCGAACCGUUUGCCCACCCCUAAUUAUUACUCUUACUGCUCGUUUUCUUCGGGGGGCGACAAGAAAAUAUCAACUUUGUAUUAGUAUUAAUUAGAUAUUAGUGCGUGGAGACCACGUGCAUAUGGCCAGAAGAGAGAUGAAAUUAGAUGGAUUUGGCGUAAAGCAAGAGUACUAGCUACUCUACUUUGUGCGUGUCUCAUGUGGGGGCGAGCUGAAAGAGUUACAAUUUUAUAAGAAUCUAUAGAAAAAUGUGAAGUUUUGUAACACAUUUCCUUUAGAGUUGAAAUCUUUUAUAGAGAUCUACGCUUCAAACGUUGAGAGAUAUAAAUAGAAUAAUAAUAUAGUUACAAAUUUUUUUAUAAAUUUAUUUUGUACAAACUGAUAUAUUAUGAUAUAAUUGGUUGAAUUAAAUAUCUCUUGGACCACAUGAUUUAUUUUAUUAUUUUGUAUUUUCAUUCAACUAAUAAAUUAAUGCCAAAUCAGUUUGUAUGAGAUAAAUUUGUAUAAGAGUUUGUAAUUAUAUAAUCACUCAUAUAAAUAUACAUGGGAUAUAAUAUUGUUGUUAUUUUGUAUAUUGAUGAAGGAUUUCUAUUAAAUAUGUUUUCAAUAUAAAUAUUACACUAAUAAUAGAGUUACAAAUAGUUAAUGUGUACAAGUUGAUAUGACAAGAAGAGUUUCAUUGAAAAUUUUGAUAAAAACUAGUUUUUGAUUAUGUGGGCUCGUGAUAGUUUUAUACAAUCAAUCUCUUUAUACCACAUCAGUUUGUAGACACUUAUUUAUACAAAGUUUUGUGGCUCUAUCAUUACUCUAACAAAAUUGAUCAUAUAAACUAAACUAAAGACAACCUUUAACUUUCGAACUGAUUUUUAAGGUAAAUAUCCAUCUAGUCCUUAUAUUUUGAGUUAAAUGCUCGUUUAAUCCUUGCAUUUAAAGAAAUAUCUCAAGAUACCUCUAUUGUUAAAAUGUUACACUCAUAUUAAUAAAAAAAAUGGCAAUUCAUCAAAUUAACCUUAAAAGUAUGUAACAUAAAAAUCUUUACAAAAUUUUAUAUUAUUAUUUUAUUUUUAGGAUUAAUUUGAUAAAUUAAUUUUUGUAAAAUGAUUAUUAGUAAGAUUGUUGUAAGAUAUUAAUUAAUAUUGCUUUAAAUUAGUUGUAUUAGUUAUUUAUAAAUAAUUAUUAGUAAGAUUGUCGUACAAGUACAAAAAAUAUUAGUAAUUCCACACUAAUAUUUAUUAGUUAAUUUGUUAGUAAAUAAUUAUUUAUUAAUUUGAAAAUUAACUUUUUUUAUAGAUAAAUUUAUUAAUGUCAGGAUUGUUGUUGCAUUUAAGGAACAAAGAAAAAAGUAAGAAUGUAAAGUAUUUAACUAUAGGGCCGUUUUGAUGCAUUUUUGUAAAUAUAAGGAUUAAAUAGACACUUAAGUUAAAAUAUAAGGAUUAAAUAGACACUUAAGUCAAAAUAUAAAGACUAAACAAGUAUUUAUCUUAAUUUUUAAAUGUGAUUGAAGUCUGUAAAUUUUUAUACGAUACCAGAACCAAAACAUAUCACAUCCAGUGGCGGAUCUAGAAAAAUAAUUUAUGGGGGCUAAAUUCGAUAAUAGCAAAAUUUAAAAUCUAAAAUUUUGAAUAUAUAAAAUGUUUGUUACUAAAUUUAUAAUUGUGCUCAACGCAUAUUCAUAUUUUGAAAAUAUUAUGCAAUAAACUUAUUAUCAAUAUUAUUAAAUAUAUUAUUUCUUACAUAAACAAUUGAACUAUCAUUCGUCCCAUAUGAUUCCAAAGAUGAUUCUUCACAAACUUCGUUCUUGAAAUGUUUGCUCUACUAUUAUUAUGGAAACUAAAAGAAUUAAUCCUAUAUUUUAGAAUAGAAAAAUGUUUUGGGUGAUGGGCUAUCAUUAUUUUUAGUUAAAGUGUAAACUUUAAUAAUUCUAGUAAAGUUUAAAUUUUAUAGGUUUAUAAAUUUAUAAGGAUCGUUUUAAUAAAUUUAAUGGGAAACUAAUUAGAAACCUUUUUUUUUUUGUUCUUAAAUUUUCUUUUUUUUAAUCCAGGGGGGCUACAACCCCCACUGGUCACAUACUGCAUCCACCACUGACAACAACGAAAUCUCUUACUUUAAUAAAGUAAUGGAUAAGGUUAAAGAUAAAAUAACAUAGAUUCUAAUAUAGCGCAAGACAAAAUUCACUGCAUUAAAGUAUAUAUUUUUGUCUUUUUUUUUUUUUGAUAAGAUAUAUUUUUGUCUUUAAUUUGUCCUUACUCUAAUAAAGUAAAAGAUUCCUUCAUUGUAAAAUUUUUUCUAUACGUAGAUGAGUUGAAUUUGUUGGUUUUGAUUAUAUAGGGAAUUUAGCGUUCAAAUAAUUGGGCUUUGUAUAAGGGCAUUGUUGCUGGGAUUUUGUUGUAAAUGGCUACAAGAGAUCUUUGAGAACAGUUUUAAAGUGUCCAAUUUCGAAAUCUAUGCCAUGGGAGCCUCCAUUAGUUGGAUGUUUUAAACUUAAUAUCGAUGCUACUGUGAAUAUUCAGCAUGGGAUUGUUGGUUAUGCAGCUGUGGCAUGAAAUCACGAAGGAUUAGUUAUGGUGACAGCAGUGGAUAUUGGUGUGUACUCUAAUUAUGUUGAUGCUAUGGCAGAAGUCUUAUACUUUGGUUUACUGCUCAGUAGAAAGAUUGGUUUGUCGCUGCUGAUUAUUGAGUUAGAUUCAUUGUGAGUCAUUCAAUUUGUGUUGGGCCAGUAAAGUACUCGUAUUUAGUUAUUAUACCUUAUUACUGAUUUGCAACAUCUUGAUUUACCAAAGCAUGUUUAAGGUUUUUAAUUUUUUAUAUAUAUUACAUGCUAUUUUCAUGUUUAUGCCUGUCAAGGGCUCAAGGCUACUAGAAAGUGACCAAUCUUGUGUUUCAUUUUUAAUAUUGGUUUUUUUUCCAUAAAAAUAAUAAAUUAUUUAUAGUAUUUGUUGUUAAUUUAAAUAUUAAUGUUGUUUAAUAUAAAUUAUAAAAUAGUAACAGGCAACGUUUAAUAUAAAUUAUGAAAUAGUAACAGGCAACGUAGUAUUUUUAGUAACGCGACGACUGGCCAGAAUUUUUUCCUGCCUAUCGAAAAACGAUUAAAAACAAGAUAAAUUGGGUUUGAUCUUACUUGGAGAUGACAGAAAAAAGGCUAAACUGGCCUAAUUCAAUAGAGCUUUAGCCUGACUUGUAGGCCCAAGGGCCGAGCUUGGGCUUCACAUGGUCAAGCUCGACCUCGGCUAUGCUCGGCCUAUGACUUUAUCAAAAAGCUUGGGCUCAGCAAUUAUAUAAUAAAAAAUUAAAAAAUUAAAAAGGAAAAUGACACAGAGACCCCCAAUGUUUGAAUAAGGGACGCAAAACUCUCUAAUGUUUCAAAAAAGACACUCAGACCCCCAUUUGUUAACAUGAAUUAUAAUUUUAAAGUACAAUUACCAUUAUACCCUUAUAGCAUAUUAAAAUUACGAAUAUAACUUCAUUACACCCAAUUUUUCCAUUUUAUUUUUGUCAAAUUUUCUCUUCAAACUAAAUAAAUUUAAUCCAUUGCUCAAGAAUAAAAAUAAAUUAAAUUGAUUACUAAUAUAAUAAAAAUAACAAUUCUCCAUAUGUCAAUCUAUUGGAUAUGUUAUUUAGUACAAUUAAGAUUUUGUAAUUAUUGUUGUAACCAAUUUUUUUUAUUUUGUAGAUUAUAUAAGUUUAAAUGGAGAAUUGUUAUUUUUAUUAUAUUAGUAAUCAAUUUAAUUUAUUUUUAUUCUUGAGCAAUGGAUUAAAUUUAUUUAGUUUGAAGAGAAAAUUUGACAAAAAUUAAAUGGAAAAUUGGAUAAUGAAGUUAUAUUCGUAAUUUUAUUAAUAAUAUAGGAAUAAAUUGGACAAUGAACAAUUAUUUUUUAAUAUGCUAUAAGGGCAUAAUGGUAAUUGCACUUUAAAAUUAUAAUUUCUGUUAACAAAUGGGGGUCUGAGUGUCUUUUUUGAAACAUUAGGGGACUUUGUGUCCCUUAUUCAAAUGUUGGGGGUCUCUGUGUCCUUUUCCCAAAUUAAAAAUAAAACUUCGUAGAAACCACCCUUAAAAUUCAAGCACCUGCUAAGUUGUAUUAUUUGUAACUUACAGCUCACUGAAAACUCUCAUAACCCUCUAAUUAUUUAACAACUAAUAAUUGAGCUAUAUAAAAAAAAAAACUAUUUUUGGGUUGAUAUAAAUUAUAGAUGACGUAACUUAACAAGAACCAAUUAAACUACAUGCUUUAAAAAAAAAUAAAUCAUAUAAAAACAUAAAGUUACAAAAUGUCCAAAAGGAAUAUGCAUAUCCCUAUAUUAUGGCUUCACUUAUUCGAUUUGACUAUAUUUUUCUGGAGGUAAUUAAAAUAUUCAUUAUAUAUGGUUGAAAAUAUAAUUUUUUUUAUUUUCUAAGGAGCUCUAUGGAAUCAAAUUCGGAUUUCUCUUCUUACUGAUAUUCAAGAUUUUGUCAACAAAGGUCACAACUAUGAGGAAUUCUCCACUAGGCCAAAAGUUCUAAAUUUACUGGCAUCAAUGCAUCGAGAUCUUACUAACAAGCUUCAUUUUAUUAGAAAGCUCUUUGAUUCAAGAAUUUAAUGAAUUUUACACUGUUUGAUUUGGAGUUUGCUACAUUAAGUUAUGAUUAAAUGAGUGUUGACUAUAUAAAUUUGCGGAUAAAAUAGACCUUGAAGUUAAAUUGUGUUUUGCUUUGUUCUCUCCCACCUCAUGACAGCUAAGAUAUUUAAUUCAAGUUUAAUUUGAAUUCAAAUUGACAGGGAUGAUGAUUUUGAGAAUGUAACUUUGAAGAGUACUCUUGUUAAAGCAUCUUCAUAUAACUCUGUAUCUCUUUGGUAGAUUCUUUAAAAUGGUGAGUUGAGAAGUCUUGUAUCUCUUGUAUGAUAUCAUUGGGUGGUGAAUAUUUGUAUUCCUUUGUAAUCCUCUUAAUUGGUGAGAUUUGGUGAGUUAAAAAACCAUGUAUCUCUUAUAGAAUAUCAAUAGGUGGUAAAUUAAUUUUCUACGUCCUAUUGUAAUCCUUUAGAAUUUGUGAGCUUUUUUUACUUGCCUUGUCUCUGUGUAUUUGUUUUGCAUAAUAAUAAGAGUUUAGUUUAUUAUGAGGCAGGUGUCACACUCCCAACAAACCUUACUCUUCUUAUUCAUCUCCUCCCACCUACCACCCAAUAGUCAGCAGCCACCAAACCAACAUGUCGGCACCUUCAUUUCUGAAAUCGUUCACCACAAUCAUUUCACAGCGACCCAUCUUGAACACGAAAAGUAAAUAAAACAUCACCACCAUUCAUCAAAGAAGGGGCUUCUUUUUCUUUUAUGUAUGUAUGUGUGUGUGUAUAUAUAUAUAUUUAAAAAAAUAAUUGUUGAACUAGUAAAAAUCUUGAGUCCAGCAUAGCUCAAUAAGCGUUAGACUUUUUAAAAGGAAUUGUGAUAUUUGACCUCCUCAAUACAUCUCACCAAUUACCACUAAUCAUUUUUAUGCUAAUACCUACUUUAUCCUUAUAUGAAAUGACUUAUAAGGAUAAAUAAUUUUUAAGUGGACCUGCAUGACAAUUUUUAUUAGGGUGGGGCUAUUUAAACCCACUAAAUUCCUUUCUACACCCAAAUUUAAGAAAUGAAUUUGUUGUUAAAAAUUAAAAAUUUGAAGAUCUCAAAAUUAUCCUUCACUUAUCUCUUUCUCUCUCUACUUUAGAAUUGCAUAUUCUCUCUUCUCUCAUAUUUUGUAAACUAAACACUCAAUUAUACUCUCUUUUAAAUUCAUAUUUUUAGCCUUUCUUAGUAGAUCAUGAUCCCUAUUCAUGUUUUCUAUAUAUAAGAUUUUUUUUAUAUUUAUGAACUUUUGUGUUUGGCAAAAAUUAAUUUCUUGAUAUUUAUUAACUUUCAUGACUAAUAAAAAUUUAUUGAUGUUCAAUUUUAAAUAGUAGAUUUUGUUUCUCUUAGUUUGUAAUAUCAAUAAUUUGCAACUAAGAGAAUAUAUAUGAAUGAGUUUAUGAGAAUUUAUGAAAUUGAGAUAAGAAGGAGAAGAAAGGUUAAUUAAGUAAUUUUAUUAAAAAUUAUUUUCAUAAUUUUAUUAAAAAUUAUUUAGAUAAUAAAAUUCUUAAUUAGAAUGAGAGUGUAAAGAGGAAAUUGGUGGGUUUAAAUAGCCUCAUCCUUUUUAUUAAUGUCUAAUUUGGCUAAUCCAAUUUCUUAAACCCCAAUUUCUUUUAAUUUUUUAAACUAUUAUCUCUUCUUAAAUAUUAUAUACUGUACUUUUGUAACUAUCAAAAAGAUUAAUUUGCAAUACUCGAACAAGAUAAUGGACAAGUAUCAAAUCUUUUCUAUGGUUAUGACAACAGUGGAUGAAACCUUUAAAAAGAAAGAGAAAGAUUAUAGUGAUUAUGAAUUUUUUUUCUUUUUAAAAUAGAUUUAAUAAGUUUUACAUAACGGGUGCUUGUAAAAAAGAUAAAAAAGUAUAAUAAGGGUAAAUUUGAAAUUAGAUGAGAUAUGUUGAGAAAUAAAGAUCAGUUUACUUUAAUGGGUUAAUUAAAAAAUGAGGGUUGAUGAGAUAUAAUGAGGCGUUAAAUAUCACCACUCUUCAAGAGCCUAGGCUUUGUGUUUUUGUUAGAACAACAAGUGUCCAUAAUUUUAGUUAGGCCCUGUCAGCCUUUGUUCUAUUUAGUAUUUUUGGAAAAAAAAAUGAAAAACUAUUACCUUUUAGUUUAAUAUUUUUUAAUGAUCACCUUAAACAAAAAAAGAAGAAGAAGAAAUGGUGUAUAAUGAGGCAUCUUCAUAAUUUUAAGAAAAGAGUGAUAUCAAAAUAAAUGGAAAUAGACACGUGAGAGGGAUGAUACAAUAUUAUAAUAUCAUAGUUGGAAAAGGACAACUACACUUUUAAAGUUUAAGAAAAUAAUUACGCAGAUUCCCAAGUUUUCAAGAAACGAUACCGAGAUUUCCUUUUGACCAUAAUAAUUUAUAGAUCUAUCAAUCCAAAAAAACUGACUCCAAUGUAUUAUAAUAAAUAGAAGUACGCCAUUAAAAUAUAUCAUAAUGUAUACAUUUUAAAAUAGCUUAAAUAUGUUUUCAUAAUCCGUAGUCCAUUAGAAAUAUUUUAUUAUAUUAAAUCAAAUAGAAACAUAAUAUUAAAUAAAUGAUUAAUUUUCUAGAUAGUCUAAAUUAUUUAUAUUUUGCGUUUAUUUAUUAAAAAAAUUUAAAGUCAAUUUUUUAAUUGCUAUGUUCAAAGGGUAUAAUAAUAAUAAUAAUAAUAAUAAUAAUAAUAAUAAUAAUAAUAAUAAUAAUAAUAAUAAAAGUUUCUUUAUAUUCCUGAAUCAACUUGAAGGUCCUCGUAACCAUCUCCCUAAAUCUCAAUAGAGUAGCUGUUUUUUCCCUUUAGGAUGAAUAAAUAAGAAUGGACACGUGAGAGCGAUGAUACAAUGUAAUAUGAGUAAUAAUAUACCUACAAACUUUUGUAUAAAUUUUUUUUUGUACAAACUGAUGUGUCAUGAUUUAAUUAGUUGGAUUAGAUAUCUCUUGCUUCACAUGAUUUGUUUUUAUUAUUUUGUAUUUUUAUUCAACCAAUAAAUUAAUGUCAAAUUAGUUUGUACAAAAUAAAUUUGUAUUAGAAUUUGUGGCUGUAUCAUCGCUCAUAUAAUAUUAUGGCUAACAUAAUUCAUUAGAAAAAAAGCGAUGAUAAUCAAUAAAUAUACAAAAAAAGGACACGUGAGAGAGAUGAUUCAAUGUAAUAUUAUGGCUAACGUAAUUUAUUUGAAAUUGUUCAUUAUAUAUAUGUUAUUUAUAUAGCAUCAGACCUUAUAAGCCUGCUAUAUAUCUCAAAAUAUCAAUUGCAAAUCUUCAUGGAAAGAUCUGCUACAAAACAUAAUGUUAGUUUGACUUAACUCAUAUUUUCAUAGAUUUAUUUAGAAAAAAAGCCUACAACUCAGUUUAUCACUAAGGACCAUUAAAUAUUUAAAUACAAUAGUGAAUAAUAUUACUUUUAACAUCCAUCAAGCACACACCCCUUUAUUAUAAAUUGUUAUACCUUAAACCCUAUAAUUAAUAGAAGUUGUUCAUUAAUAGGGAUGAAAAUGGGUACCACCCGCAACAAUUUUGUUAUUAAUCAAAUAUGCACCUACAAAAAGUUUAAGUUGCUAAAUCCUCUAGCAACUUACUGUAGGUUUUUACUUUUUUUUUUUUAAAAAAAAAAAGCCUACCAUAUGGGGAUUUUUACAAUUACCAAACUCACUCGCAAUUCACAAUAAAUUUUACCUAUAAACUGCAGCGGCGGUAGUAGCAAUAAAUUUAUUUCAAAUCAGCAGGUUUUGCCUAACUCAUAGGCUCGUAGCGGUAAUAGCAACCUAUUUUUUUCAAAUCAUAACACCACGUCUAGGACCAUAAUCCCGCAUCCAAAAAAUUGUGUUUAUCUAAACAUUUUCAUAAAAAUAUAUUUUUUCUAUUGCAUACAAAUAUACAAUUAACUCUACACUAAAGGUUAUGCUUGAGCUUUUAACAUAAUAAUAAUAAUAAUAAUAAUAAUAAUAAUAAUAAUAAUAAUAAUAAUAAUAAUAAAAGUCUUAAUGUCCUUGAUGUGAAAGCUUGAAGGUCUUCUUAACCAUUUUUCAAAUCUUAAGGAAAUAGCUGUUUUUUCCCUCGAGAAUGAAUAAACAAAAACAGACACGUGAGAGUGAUAAUACAAUAUUAAUAUUAUCACUGACAUAAUUUAUUAGCAAAGCGUUGAUAAUGAGUAAAUAAAAAUGGGACAUGUGAGAGAGAUGACUCAAUAUAAUAUUAUGGCUAACGUAAUUUAUUCGAAAAGAGUUGACAAUAAAUAAAUAACUGACGCGUGAGAGGGGUGAUGAAAUAUAAUACUAUGGCUAACAUAAUUUAUUAGAAAUUGUUCACCAUAUAUACGUUAUUAUGAGCCAGCUAUAUAUCUCAACUUAUCAAUCGCAAAUCUUCAUAAAAGAUAUUCUACGAAACAUAAUGCUUGUUUGACUUAAACACUCAUAUUUUGAUAAAUUUUUUAAUUAGGAAAAGAGUCCAUAACUCAAUUCAUCAGUAAGGACCAUUAAAUACAACUGUGAAUAGUACUACUUUUAACAUCAACAUCAAACUAGCACACACCCCUUUAAAAUAAAUUAUUAUACCUUAACCCCCAUAAUUUAUUAGAAGUUGUUCAUUAAUUAGGAUGUCAAUGGGUUACCGCUACAGCUGAUUUAUUAUUACUAAAUCCGUACUUUAAAAAAUUUAAUACAAAAUCCUCCCACAACAUGCUGCGGAAUCUUUUUUUUUUUUAAAAAAAAUUUCCCACUGCAAGUUUUAACAAUUAUUAAACCAUAGCGGAUUUUGCUUGUAAUGGCAACGGUGGUAGUAGCAACAAAUUUAUUUCAAAUUAGUGUGUUUUGCAUGUAACUUAUAGGCUCGCAGCAAUGGCAGCAGCAGCAUAUUUAUUUCACAUCAUAAUACUACAUCCAAGAUCAUAAUACCACAUCCAAAAAAUUAGAAUUAUAUAAACAUUUCUAUAAAAAUAUAUAUUUACUAUUGCAUGCAAAUGUACAAUUAACUCUACACUAAAAGUUAUGCUUGAGCGUUUGAUUAGAUUAGUAGCCAUGUUUACUUAGAUUUUUAGCCAAAACUAACAAAUUUAAAAUAGACCAAUUUCAACUAAUAUGGUAGUCUUCUCAUUCAGUGGUGGAUCUAGAAAAGUAAUUUACCGGGGAUAAAUUAAAUAAUAGCAAAAUGUGAAAACUGAAACUUGAAUAUAUAAAAUUUUUGGUAAUACAUUUACAAUUGUUCUCUACAAGGUUUGAUAAUUUGAAAGUGUGUGCAAUAGACUCAUUAUCAAUACUAUUAAAUACAUCUUUUUCUACAUAAACGAUCAAAUUAUCAUUCAUACAUUCAUCUCUCAUUCGAUUCCGAAGUUCAUUCUUCACAAAUUUUAUUGUUGGAAAUGUUCUCUCUACUGUGGCUAUAGAAACUAGAAGAACUAAUGCUAAUUUCACCAACAAAUAUACUAACGAAUACAUCUUAUCUUUUUUGUCUCAAACAUUCUUUUAGCAAGGUCACUGAUUCCUUUCAAUCCUGCAAACUCAGUACUAUAACGCAUAUCCAUUAUGUAAGUUUGAAGUUAAGUUUUAAGUUGCAUAAGCUCUGUUGGUGAAAAAUCCUUUGGAUAAAAUUGAGCAAGACGUACUAAGUUGUCCUUAUCAAAAGUAGAAAAUGAGUCAUUUGACUUAAACAUGCCAAACAAAGAAGCAAUUUCAUAUUCACCCCCAUUGAAAUGAUUAUUUAGCUCUUAAGGUUCCAAAUCUAAAACAACAAAAAAUAGUUCAACUCGAAAAUAAUACAUGUUUGAGAUCUCCCGAACCUUGUGUCAUGAUCAACCUUGGUAAAAACACAUCAUUCAUGUUAGGGACAUCAAUUUCAUGCUUCAAACAAAAAAAGAAACCUCACAAAGCACAGAAUCUCAUCCAUCAUCUCUCAUCAUUUGCAAGUUUUUCUUGCAUAUUUCAACCAAUUUUAUGGCAUUUAGAAUAUCGUCAUCCUUUCUUUGAAGUGGUUGUGAUAACUUAUUUGAAAGUGUAAGUAUAUCUCUCAUCAAAUAUAAACUAAGCAAAAAAAUCAAAAGAUUACAUAAGCUCUACCAAAUAAUUUGCUUGAAAUCUCUGUUCACUAGAGUUUUACUUAUCUUUUGCAACUAUCUCAGCUCAGGCACACUAAUUAUAUGUGGAAACAAACAGAUUAUAUGAAGUAAUGUACCAUAAUGUGAGCCCCAACAUGUAUCACCAAAAUGUUUCAAUGCUGUCUCUGGAUUUUGGCCUUGCCCACUCGAUAAGUCAUCAUUUUCAAGUACUUCAACAAUUGAAAGUAAUUGCUUCUCUCAAAGAAUAUCUCGACGUUUACAUGAAGCCCCAACAACAUUGAUAACAUUAGCAAUUACAUUGAAGAAAGAAUUAAUUUGAUCGUGUUUCUUUGCCACAGCCACAAUAGCUAAUUGUAAUUAAUGGACAAAACAAUGUAUAUAAUAAGCACACUCAUUCUUAUUCAUAAUAAGUGUGCUAAGACCAUUGAACUCGCCUUGUAUGUUGCUAGCCCCAUCAUAACCUUGCUUGCGCAACCUAGAUAUACUCAAUCCAUACUUGGAAAAUAACUGAUCAAGAGCUUCCUUGAGCGAGAUAGCAGUAGUACAAGUAACGUGCUUAAAACCUAUAAAACGCUCAAAGACAUAUCCAUUCUUGUCUGCAUAUCGCAAUGCAACAACCAUCUACUCCUUCGUAGAUGCAUCACGGGAUUCAUCAAUCAAAAUAGAAAAUAAUGCCUCACUCACAUCUCUAAUAAUAACAUUGGUAGUUUCAAUAGAACAAACCCUCACAAGGUCUUUUUGAAUUGAAGGUGCAAUCAACAUGUUGUUUCUAGGAGCGUUCUUCAAAGUAACUCUUUUGAUAUCAUCAUUGUGAUCGGCAAGAAAUCUUAAAGUUAGAAUAUAAUUUCCUUGGUUACUUGAAUUAUCAUAUUCAUUAUGACCACAAAAUGUAAGCCCUUAUUCUAAAAGAAGCCUAACAACAUCAAUGGAUGCAAACUGGCGAGUUCGAUAAUCUUUCCAAUCUUAAUCAGAAUGUUUGUUGAAAAAUGUUCGAACAUGCUGCUUUUGUUUCAUUAAAUCCUCACAAUAGCCCAUGGCCUUGUUGUGAGCACUAUUAGGACCUCCAAUAUGCUCUUGUAAUCUUUCUGGUUUCUUCCAAUUUGAGAACUCAUUUUUUGUAAAUGUCUCACCAUUUGCUUGCUCACCAAUUUCUAGUGUGAAAAGAUAACAAGAUAAACAAUAUCCAUCAUUCUUUGAUAUACUAUAUUCUAGCUAAUUUUUGUAUAUAUUGAACCGAGCAGGACUCAAUUGUCGUUGUUGUUGCCUAAAUUUAGACUUAUAAAAAAUUGUGGAAUUUAGGUUGGCAAGGACCCUUUAUGAAUAUGCUCAACGAACUUCAUGUCGAAUAUUUCAAUUGUAAAAAAAAAUUAAGGGUCGUUGUCUAGGAUCAUAAGGAAGUUCUGACAAUUCUAAGUCGAACUUAUUUCGUUUUUCUAGACCAUUUUCAACUUUCUCUGGAAAUGGCAGCAUCACAGGUUUUCUUUUAAAAUACUUUUCCAUAUCUAUUUCAAAAUUAUAUAUGUGAGUACUUAUAUAAAAAUAAAUUAAUUACAAUUAAAAAAAUUAAUUUACAAAUAGCUAUAAACAAAAUCACCGAAAAAAAACUAUAAGGACUAGAAUUAGUCACUUGAGCAAUUACAAUUUGUAUAGAGAUAUAUUGACAUUCUGACAAUUCUAAGUCAAACUUAUUUCGUUUUUCUAGACACUUUCAUCUUUCUCUAGAAAUGGCAGCAUCACAGGUUUUCUUUUAAAAUAUUUUUCCAUAUUUGUUUCAAAAUUAUAUAUGUCAGUACUUAUAUAAAAUAAAUUAAUUACAAUUAAAAAAAGAUUGAUUUACAAAUAGCUAUAACACAAAAUCACUGAAAAAAAAAUAAGGACUAGAAUUAGUCACUUGAACAAUUACAAUUUUUAUAGAGAUAUGUUGACAUGUGAAAAUGAAUAAAAUACUAAAUUAUUAACUUAAUUUGAAAAAAAUAAGAAGAGGACAUGUUUACCUGAUGCAAAAUUGAUGUAGAGGCAAACUCAUUUGCCAGUCCCACGUCCCAAUCACUCAACCCCACAACAAUUAAAUAAAUCACACCCUCAUUCUCCUUUUGCUUUCUUCACUGGGAUUUUGAGAAUAAAGAACGAACUACUUGGAACUUGCUCUUUUUGUUCAAGGUAAUCCCUAAUUACAAGUGUGGCACUCAUGAUUCAGUAAUUAAGAUUAUAAAUAUUUCGAGCAGUAGGCUUUUUUUAAAGUCAAAUUAUGACUUUACAAUUAUUAAAAUAAUAGUUUGAUUUUUAAAGAAUGGGACUAUCUAAUAACUUGACAUGGGCUAUUCAGAAAUUUAUUAAUUUUGCUUUUAAACAAAAAAGUGUAAUUUUUUUUCCAAUGGGGACUUGAGCCUAGGGAUGACAAAAUCCUGGGGCUCCACCCCAAAUGGGGGUGAAUUUUGAAUAAUUUUAGGGGAAUGGGGUGAGGAAUGGGGGAAAUAAUCCCCAAAUUCUUAAUGGGGUGGGGUAUGGUUUUGUGCUCCCCACCCCAAUCCCUAUUAUAUAUAAAUAUUUUUUCUAAUUUUCAUUUAAUAAUUUUUAUUUUAUCAAUUAAAAUGUUAGUUAAUAAUUUUUUUUUACUUGAUAUAAAUGAGCUACAACUGAAAGAAAACAUUAAAAUAUAAUUUUUAUUCAAUCGUAAAAUAUUGUUAUGUUUUCUUUUCUCUCUUAACAUACUGCUCUUUUCAAAUAUUUUUCAAUUUUAAUAUCAUUUUAAGAUAUUGUUUCAAACAUUUGGAGAUUUUUUUAAAUAAUAUAAAUAUUUUAUAAUAUGGUAAUGAUUUUAUUUAUAUCUUUAAUUUUUAAUUUAUUGAAAUAAUGUAUCUGCAUCUACUAUAAAAUAAAUAAAUAAAUGGGGAAUGAGGUGGGGAUGGGGAAAUCACUCCCCACGUAGGGAUUCCCCAUCCUCACCCCACUAAAUUUAUUGGGGAGUAGAGGUGAAAUUUUUAAUGGGGUGGGGAAUGAGGUCAGCCUCCCCACCCCAUUGUCAUCCCUACUUGAGCCCAUGGUAGUCCUACAAUGAAUCCACCUCUGUUCUCAUUGAAAGUUACAAAAGUGUCUUUAAAAAAUAAACACAUACAUGUUGUGAAGAGAACGAUGUGAAUCAAGUUAGCGACAUAACUUACGUAUUUUUAUAAUUAAAUUCUUUAAUAUAAUUUUAAAAUUAAAAUUUAUAAAAAUAAUUAAAAUAAAAUUGCGGGUUGGCGGAUAACCAUGUAGGUAUCCACUGGAUUUUUUGUUAGUGCCAAAAUACUCAUAGCAGACAAUUGAUGGAUGAAUUUGGACAAAUUUACGAGUUUGUGGGUACUAUUGCCAUCCAUGUACGUUGACAUAUUAUAUAUAUAGCCUCAAAUCUUAUAAGCCAGCUAUAUCUUCAUAAAUGACCAAAUUGUAAACAUAAUCAUAUACAAUUAUAUAACAUAAACUCAUCAAUUGCAAAUCUUCAUAAAAGAUAUACUACGAAACACAUGCUAGUUUGACAAAAUUUAGUUCACAAGCCAAGUUGUCUUUUUUAUUUUUUAAUAAUAAUGAAGGGCAACAAAGUAAUUUUAUGUUUCACUUUAUUCGUGCCAGUAACAACGUAACAUUGUCAAUAUAGCAUUUCUCUUGCAUAUUGAUAAUAAAUUGGUAAAACAGUACUACUGGUGUAGUCUUGUAGAUAACCCACAUGAAUCGAUAAGUCAAACGAAAUUAUCACUAUUAUUAUUUUGAAACAAAGAAAAUAAUUUCAUUACAACCAAAUUGCUGAACAGAACAAACACUUCGUCCAUAGCAGAUCUUAGAAUCAAAUUACCGUAACCAAUUACAGCAAGGUUAAACAAACGGCACAGAGGAAAUAUCAUGCGACCAAGGUUAAACAAACGGCACCUCCACUCCUGUCAACUUGCAAUAAAACAAAUUGAAGCUCCAUUCAUGAUAAACCUCAGUUUCUUUCAACAAAUCCUCCACCAUUAAAGUUGGCUCUACCAAUUGGUACACUAAAAGAUCGAUCUGUUGCAAUGACCGAUCUGCAGUUCGAGACUUUUCAAAUCCGAAGAACUAUAAAUUUCAAAUCUAAAAGUAAAGCUUUUUUUAACUGAUAAAACAACAAAAAGGCCAGACAUGGAUACACAAUAUUGUUCAUUUUCACAACAUGAACUUAUAUAAGUUCAUCUAUUUGCACUAAAGGUAGCCUCUUUCUUUGCAGCAUUUGAUUGCCCCAUCAAACAUCUCAUCGAUCCCAUACUUAUAUGUAAAACCAGUAUCCAGGAGUUUCUUUGACGAUAACGCUGAUAAUUUAUAACCUUCAAUCUCCGAUAAAGAACUGCAAAAUUCCUCCAUUAUACUAAAACAUGAUAAUUAUAAAGAAAAUGGAAAAUUAAGGGUAGAACUUAAUUGGACUUACUCCACAUUUGGUAUUGGAUAUUCAGGGUGUUUUGCAGAAAGAAAUUCAGCCAUCUCUUGAAUAGUUAAUUUGGCUGAAGAGCAAAUGUAUCUCCCUUUUGCAUCAGGAUAUUCAAGUAAAAAAAUAUGCGCCCUUGCUACAUCAUCUAUGUGCACCAUUGAUAUGUUGAGAAGAAUGCUAUAUUCCUCUCGAUUGCCUGAUAAGCAGAGAUGUUUAC
This 16327-nucleotide long non-coding RNA is filed under the name Citrus sinensis (sweet orange). RNAcentral describes it as "long non-coding RNA (CSIN_LNC003434)". Lineage: Eukaryota; Viridiplantae; Streptophyta; Magnoliopsida; Sapindales; Rutaceae. The record is from RNAcentral.